AAGUUAUGAAUACCAUAACCAAAAUAAAUCCUACACAUUGUGGCGCCUCCGAGAUGAAAUGUGAACUCACACAUCAGAACACUCUACAUAAGUCGAGAUAAAGAAAGAAGCACACUCAUUCUAGACUAAGCAUGCCAAUAGGAUGACAUUCCUGGACAUCAGAACCGUGCUUUGAGGGCAGUAUUAAAACUAGAAACAUACAACCCGAACAAAUGGAAAUAAAUGUUGCUCAGAAUAUAUCAAUCCAGCACAUCAUAUAAGUAUUAGCUUCAAUACACCAAUCAAACAUUUAAUAGUAAUCUUCUUCAACCCCUAACAUUGAAAGGGAAAA
Molecule: unclassified non-coding RNA, 331 nt
Filed under: Hevea brasiliensis (rubber tree)
Lineage: Eukaryota; Viridiplantae; Streptophyta; Magnoliopsida; Malpighiales; Euphorbiaceae
Source: RNAcentral